GUCUACAGCCAUGCCAUCCUGAAUAAACCCAAUCUCGUCUGAUUUCAGAAGCUAACCAGGGUCGGGCCUGGUUAGUACUUGGAUGAGAAGCCACCUAGGAAGACCAGGUGCCGUAGGCA
Molecule: ribosomal RNA, 119 nt
Filed under: Pteropus alecto (black flying fox)
Lineage: Eukaryota; Metazoa; Chordata; Mammalia; Chiroptera; Pteropodidae
Source: RNAcentral